GCGGGCGUGUCGGAGUGGCCAAACGAGGCAGACUCAAGAUCUGUUGGCUUAGUGCCUACGCAGGUUCGAAUGUAGGGGACUUGGUCCUUUGCCGAAUUUCCUGCCGCCCGCA
Molecule: transfer RNA, 112 nt
Filed under: Candidatus Woesearchaeota archaeon
Lineage: Archaea; Nanobdellati; Candidatus Woesearchaeota
Description: tRNA-Leu
Source: RNAcentral